GAAGGUAUAACUCAGUGUUUGAGUGCGUGCUUAGCAUGCACAAGGUCCUGGGUUCAAUCCCCAGCACCUCCA
This 72-nucleotide transfer RNA is filed under the name Camelus bactrianus (Bactrian camel). It matches the Rfam family "tRNA". From Rfam's summary of the family: Transfer RNA (tRNA) molecules are approximately 80 nucleotides in length. Their secondary structure includes four short double-helical elements and three loops (D, anti-codon, and T loops). The record is from Rfam by way of RNAcentral. Lineage: Eukaryota; Metazoa; Chordata; Mammalia; Artiodactyla; Camelidae. RNAcentral also lists the same sequence under 2 other names.